Molecule: ribosomal RNA, 506 nt
Filed under: uncultured bacterium
Lineage: Bacteria
Description: partial 16S ribosomal RNA
Rfam family: Bacterial small subunit ribosomal RNA
Source: RNAcentral
GAUGAACGCUAGCUACAGGCUUAACACAUGCAAGUCGAGGGGUAACGAGAGGGAAGCUUGCUUUCCUUGUCGACGACCGGCGCACGGGUGAGUAACGCGUAUCCAACCUGCCCCCAACUAAGGAAUAACCUUGCGAAAGUAAGACUAAUACCCUAUAAUUUCCUCAGAUGACAUCUGACGAGGAAUAAAGAUUUAUCGGUUGUGGAUGGGGAUGCGUCUGAUUAGCUUGUUGGCGGGGUAACGGCCCACCAAGGCAAGGAUCAGUAGGGGUUUUGGGAGGAAGGUACCCCACAUUGGAAAUGAGACACGGUCCAAACUCCUACGGGAGGCAGCAGUGAGGAAUAUUGGUCAAUGGGCGGAAGCCUGAACCAGCCAAGUAGCGUGCAGGAUGACGGCCCUAUGGGUUGUAAACUGCUUUUAUACAGGAAUAAAGUUAGCCACGUGUGGUUAUUUGUAGGUACUGUAUGAAUAAGGACCGGCUAAUUCCGUGCCAGCAGCCGCGGUAA